RNAcentral lists this ribosomal RNA (935 nucleotides) under uncultured bacterium. RNAcentral describes it as "bacterial SSU rRNA". It matches the Rfam family "Bacterial small subunit ribosomal RNA", at positions 38 to 946 of the family's 1533-position model. The record is from RNAcentral.
AUUGGCAUGGAUUAGGCAUGCAAGUCGAACGCGAAAGAGGGGGUAACCCCUUAAGUAGAGUGGCGAACGGGUGAGUAACGCGUGAGGAACCUGCCUUCAACAGGGGGAUAACACUCCUAACGGGGUGCUAAUACCGCAUGAGACCACGGGGUCGCAUGGCCCUGAGGUCAAAGAUGGCCUCUAUUUAUAAGCUAUCGGUUGGAGAUGGACUCGCGUCCCAUUAGCUAGUUGGCGGUGUAACGGACCACCAAGGCGACGAUGGGUAGCUGGUCUGAGAGGAUGGUCAGCCACACUGGGACUGAGAUACGGCCCAGACUCCUACGGGAGGCAGCAGUCGAGAGGCUUCGGCAAUGGGGGAAACCCUGACCGAGCGACGCCGCCUGAGGGAUGAAGGCCCUUGGGUCGUAAACCUCUUUUGUUCGGGAAGAAACACGAUCAGGUGAAUAAUCUGGUCGUUUGACGGUACCGGACGAGUAAGCUCCGGCUAACUCCGUGCCAGCAGCCGCGGUAAUACGGGGGGAGCAAGCGUUGUUCGGAAUCACUGGGCGUAAAGGGCGUGUAGGCGGCUUGGUAAGUGGGAUGUGAAAUGCCUCGGCUCACCCGAGGACCGGCAUCCCAAACUGCUAAGCUUGAGUAUGGGAGAGGAUGAGGGAAUUCCUGGUGUAGCGGUGAAAUGCGUAGAUAUCAGGAGGAACACCGGUGGCGAAGGCGCUCAUCUGGCCCAAUACUGGCGCUGAGGCGCGAAAGCUAGGGGAGCAAACGGGAUUAGAUACCCCGGUAGUCCUAGCCGUAAACGGUGAUCACUAGGUGUUGGAGGCAUCGACCCCUCCAGUGCCGCAGCUAACGCAUUAAGUGAUCCGCCUGGGGAGUACGGCCGCAAGGUUGAAACUCAAAGGAAUUGACGGGGGCUCACACAAGCGGUGGAAUCACUAGUG